This is a long non-coding RNA of Nomascus leucogenys (northern white-cheeked gibbon), 243 nucleotides long. RefSeq lists it as uncharacterized. Lineage: Eukaryota; Metazoa; Chordata; Mammalia; Primates; Hylobatidae. The record is from RefSeq and is a predicted model, not a curated record. The transcript is spliced from 3 exons.
GGGACCGCCGGGCCACCACCGGCCGCCUCAGCCAUGGACGCGUCCCUGGAGAAGAAUCCUUGCCCGGAGUCCAGCGCCUCCUUCCUGUCCAGGAUCACCUUCUGGUGGAUCACAGGGUUGAUUGUCCGGGGCUACCGCCAGCCCCUGGAGGGCAGCGACCUCUGGUCCUUAAACAAGGAGGACACGUCGGAACAAGUCGUGCCUGUUUUGGUAAAGAACUGGAAGAAGGAAUGUGCCAAGACU